CCUACGGGUGGCAGCAGUGAGGAAUAUUGGUCAAUGGCCGGAAGGCUGAACCAGCCAAGUCGCGUGAGGGACGACUGCCCUAUGGGUUGUAAACCUCUUUUAUACGGGAAGAAUACAUGCUACGUGUAGCAUGAUGCCUGUACCUUACGAAUAAGCAUCGGCUAACUCCGUGCCAGUAGCCGCGGUAAUACGGAGGAUGCGAGCGUUAUCCGGAUUUAUUGGGUUUAAAGGGUGCGUAGGCGGUUUGAUAAGUUAGUGGUUAAAUGUCGGGGCUCAACCCCGAAAAUGCCUUUAAGCAGGGUGGAAUAGAGAAGAGGUGAGGUAGGCGGAAUGUAUGGUGGAGCGGUGAAAUGCUGAGAGAGCAUACAGAACACCGAGUGCGAAGGAAGCUUACCAAACUAUAUCUGACGUGGAGGCACGAAAGCGUGGGUAGCAAACAGGAUUAGAUACCCGUGUAGUC
Molecule: ribosomal RNA, 460 nt
Filed under: uncultured bacterium
Lineage: Bacteria
Description: partial 16S ribosomal RNA
Rfam family: Bacterial small subunit ribosomal RNA
Source: RNAcentral